RNAcentral lists this ribosomal RNA (333 nucleotides) under uncultured bacterium. RNAcentral's name for it is "bacterial SSU rRNA". It matches the Rfam family "Bacterial small subunit ribosomal RNA", at positions 568 to 898 of the family's 1533-position model. The record is from RNAcentral.
CGCGUAGGCGGUCUGUUUAGUGUGAAGUGAAAUCUCCAGGGCUCAACCCGGAAACUGCUUUGCAAACUGGCAGACUAGAGGAAGGCAGAGGUGAAUGGAAUUCCUGGUGUAGCGGUGACAUGCAUUGAUAUCAGGAGGAACACCCGUGGCGAAGGCGGUUCACUGGGCCUUAUCUGACGCUGAGGCGCGAAAGCGUGGGUAGCAAACAGGAUUAGAUACCCUGGUAGUCCACGCCCUAAACGAUGGACACUAGGCGUCGGGGGUAUCGACCCCUCCGGUGCCGCAGCUAACGCAAUAAGUGUCCCGCCUGGGGAGUACGACCGCAAGGUUGAA